GUGGAUGAGAAAGUAUCGUUAUAGAAGAAGUGAAGAGAGGGAAGAAGAAAAGAAGAGAAAAAGAGAAAUAUCACUUGCUAAGAAGUUCUGAAUCGAAUGAAGUCCAUAGACACUUAAAUCAAUGGCGCGUACAAUAGAAACAGAAAGUUGAAAAAAAAAAAAUAGAAUUCCGAAUUGGGUGAACUCCAUCGAACUCAAUUCAAUCGCGCAACACAAAGCUAAAAAAAA
This 228-nucleotide long non-coding RNA is filed under the name Salvia miltiorrhiza (redroot sage). Its description in RNAcentral is "long non-coding RNA (SMIL_LNC004334)". Lineage: Eukaryota; Viridiplantae; Streptophyta; Magnoliopsida; Lamiales; Lamiaceae. The record is from RNAcentral.